UGACACACACAGACCACCGCAUUAUUAUGCCUCAGGAUUUCAUUCCAAAAACAGCAGUCUUAUAUAUAAGGAGAGCAUUAAAAACACAAGCCAGGCCAAUGAUAGUCAGUGUUAAAAGCUCAAGUUUUCAGGCAUUUUAUAUGUGUAUGUGCACUUGCCAAAGCACAUCACCUGUGUAUAGUAUAUAUACUAUAGUCACCAUGUGACAAAAGUCAGUUCAGUCAACACAAGUUGCCAUAACAUUAUCAAAUAGCAUAACAACCCUAGCUGGUUAGAACAACUGGUUAGAGCAGCCGCAGGCUGAAGGGUCCUGGGUUCAAUUCUAGUCAAGGGCAUGUACCUUGGUUGCAGGCUCCAUCCAUAGCCCCUCCGCAUGCAGGAGGCAACCAAUCGAUAAAAAACAUCGAUGUGUCUCUCACAUCGAUGUUUCUGUCUCCCUUCCUUCCACUCUUUUUAAAAAUGGAAAAAUAUCCUCA
Molecule: long non-coding RNA, 476 nt
Organism: Myotis daubentonii (Daubenton's bat)
Lineage: Eukaryota; Metazoa; Chordata; Mammalia; Chiroptera; Vespertilionidae
Source: RefSeq, a predicted model, not a curated record